AGCAAAUCCGAACAGGCAAAGGCCUCACUCUCCAGUGCAGUCUGGGAGGACUGAUCAGGGAAGAACAGAUCAGGGUGAAGAACAGAAAGACCCCAAGGCAUCUCCCCAAGAUGACCACAGUUGUCCCUGAAGAAGCAGUCACAGCAAGCUCACUUCACAGGAACCAAGCUGUGGGCUGAUCCUACAGACUUGAAAAGACAACUCAAAAAGAUUGUCUGUGGGGUCAGAAACAGCUCUGGAGGGGUCUGCAGAAAUUACUUUCCCAAGUCUUUGGGCUGGAAGGAACGAACAGUGCCUGACCAAGGACUUUGAGCAGGAGAGAGAUGGGAGCAGAGAGGAGCCAAGGUCUACUAUUUUCACUUCUGUCAAUUAGAUCAAAGCCCUGCCCAGAAGCUUUGAGCGCCGCUGUCAAGUCCCAUUCCUCCCCUAAACCAUCCAGGUUCCAUCUGCCUUGAAGCCAAAGGAUCUUCUUAGAUUCCUCAAGAAAAAUUCAGGCCCCGAGUUUCUCCACCAGCACUCUCCUCUCCCCGAAGGAGUGGGUGGGCUGCAUUUCUCUUCAUAUUCUAUUCCAUUCCAGACCGUCUUGGACUACCAGCCUGUCCGCCACCCCUCGGGGCCCUCCCUCCUACUCUGCCCUUGCCCGCUGAGGUCCCAAGCUGAGGAGAUGAGCCGAGCAGUAAAAAGAGAGGAGGUUUGGAAAAGCAAUGUCCUCUCAGUCUUUAAUAGGUGGCCCCCCUGGGAACCUGCUGGAAGUGGAAGUUAAUAAGCUGAAGGUGGUCACAACCAAUCUCUGCCACACUCGCACCCUACCCCACCCCAAAUCAUUCCUUUUAAUUAAUAGUGGAAGACCUUUUUAAAAAUGUAACAUGAAUUGGCUAUUUCUUGAGGCAAACAAAAGGUGGCUCUGAAGCGAUAUAUUUGUACUCGUAUAAAUUCAUUAAAAUAGAAAGCUUAUAACCAUCCAGGUUUCACUGACAGCCCCAGUCCAUCUACAUGCAGAAAUGGUCCCUCCAAAGCCCUCUACGACAAUUAUUCUCACAGAUCGUCAUGAUAAACUGUAAGGGAAUAUACUAAGAAAGAGGGAAGAAGAGAGGAGGAGUCCAUUUUUAAUUAGUGGUUGGAAAUAGAGUAAAAAUUAGAGGGCCUUAGGUUUAAAACACAGAUGUGCAUUGUGAUCGUCUGAAGGAAGAGCUGUUGACAGAGAAAACAAGGUGGUGAACUAUGCCCUUGGCCUGUGACAGUUAGGUGAGGGUUGCUCACCGCAGAAGACAGACCGGUAGAGCCCAGCAGGAAAGAGGGUAUCAGGCUGGAAGAAGUGCAGUUUGGCCCUGGCGGAGUGGUGGAGUGGCUGGAGCGACUGCAGGAGGAGGAUAGAUCUGGAAGCAGGUCUGGGCUAUACUUUGGCCUCAGCCAGGGAGCCAGAGAAGGAAGGCUUGGGUUCGAGGGGGGAAAUCAUUCUCCCAAAUUGCUUUCUCAGAAGCGCCAAUUCAGAUCACCUGAAGACAGGGUCUGGGCCCCAUUACAGCAUGGUUCCCAAAUGGGAGUGUGCUUGGAAGCCUUGGUGAUUAAAGGGUGCUGACUAAAAGAGUCAAACUCUGUAAAAUAUUUGAAGAGAUUUAUUCUGAGCCAAAUAUGAGUGACCAUGGCCCAUGACACAGCCCUCAGGAGACCCUGAGAACAUGUGUUCAAGGUGGUCGGGGUACAGCUUGGUUUUAUAUGUUUUAGGAAGGCAUGAGACUCAAUCAAAGACAUUUUAAAAAUACAUUGGUUUGGUUCAGAAAGGUGAGACAACUCAAAGUGGGGGCUUCCAGGCUAUAGGUAAAUUUAAACAUUUUCUGACUGACAAUUGGUUGGGUUUAUCUGGAGACCUGGGAUUAAUGGAAAGGAAGGUUCAUGUUAAGAUACAGAACUGUGGGGACCAAGUUUUAUUGUGCAGAGGAAUCUCUCAGAUAGCAGACUUCAGAGAGAGAGAGAGCAGGUUGUAAAAUGUUUCUUAUCGGACCUAAAAGGGUACCUGGCUCUUAGUUGAUUAUCUCCUGGAUCUGGGAAGGAAGGAAGGAAAACAAAGGGGAAAGGAAAUAUUUCCUAUAGAAUAUGGAUUUUUCCCACAAGAGACUUUGCAGGACAAUUUCGAGAUAUGGCAAGGAGAUUUAUUUUGGGGUAAAACAUUUUGAUUUUCUUCCUUGUUAUGCCACAGUCAGAUUGGAAAGUCAGUCAUGAUAUACAGGGUCAGAUAAAAUCCGUCUGAUGAGAAUGUAUGGUUGGUAGGGCAUGACUCCCCAGACCCCUUAGAUAGGAAUCUGGGCAAGAUAAAAAAUCGGAGCUUAGUCCUCAAGGGAAGGGGCAGCAGCGCUGUUGGCGGGCUCACCAAGCAUCAGUACUGGAUCACCAGGCUUGGGAGAGUAGGGGUGUCAAGGCCCCAAGAGCAGGGAGGGCCUUGGCCCCACUAGGGGGGCAUCAGAAAGCAGGGAGCACUUGUAGUUCACCAUGAUUCCCCUCAAAGCCCUGGGCCAGCCUCCUGCAGGGAAGGCGGGCAGGAAGUCUUCCCCAUAGGGGCAGGCUUGCUUUUUUGGCCAGCCAUCCUCUUCAUAUGAAAAACAGCAUCUUGUCAUUUCUAGAUGUUUCUACUUUGGUUGACUCUUUAAUUUUUCUGCAGUUAAAAGCCUUAAAACAGCAAGGAAGCAGGGGACAGGAGGGGAGCCCAGAUCUCUCCCAAAGAAAAGGAGAAAGACUGAAUCCUUGAGGCCUGCCGUACAAAGGAGUGGUGGGUUGGAGGAGGGUAGGCAGAGACUAGGGUGGUCUGGGACUUUAAGUACAAGGCCCCGUGGAUUUCAUUGGGGGGCAAGCCAUGUGCAACAGGGAAGCUCAGGAACCGGGGGGUUUCGCACAGAGGUCUGGUGCUGUGAGGUACAGGGAAAGAAUUAGUGGAUCUGGACCAGUGGAACAUUGGUUUAGUGUAAUCUCUGAUUUGUGUUGAGUGAAUUUGAGUAUAGUCCAACCACCACCCCCCUACCCCAACUAAACCAUGUGCCCCUCAGGAGCUGGGACUCUUCUAUUUUCUAUUCCUUAUAGCAGGCUCAGUGCCUGACACACUACGUUGAAUUUUAUUUUAAACAUUUCAUUUACAUUAAAUGGUAUAUUUGCAAGUUCA
RNAcentral lists this long non-coding RNA (3151 nucleotides) under Homo sapiens (human). Its description in RNAcentral is "non-protein coding LINC01016:3". Lineage: Eukaryota; Metazoa; Chordata; Mammalia; Primates; Hominidae. The record is from RNAcentral.